CCAGACAGCCAGGAUGUUGGCUUAGAAGCAGCCAUCAUUUAAAGAAAGCGUAAUAGCUCACUGGUCGAGUCGGCCUGCGCGGAAGAUGUAACGGGGCUAAACCAUGCACCGAAGCUGCGGCAGCGACGCUUAUGCGUUGUUGGGUAGGGGAGCGUUCUGUAAGCCUGCGAAGGUGUGCUGUGAGGCAUGCUGGAGGUAUCAGAAGUGCGAAUGCUGACAUAAGUAACGAUAAAGCGGGUGAAAAGCCCGCUCGCCGGAAGACCAAGGGUUCCUGUCCAACGUUAAUCGGGGCAGGGUGAGUCGACCCCUAAGGCGAGGCCGAAAGGCGUAGUCGAUGGGAAACAGGUUAAUAUUCCUGUACUUGGUGUUACUGCGAAGGGGGGACGGAGAAGGCUAUGUUGGCCGGGCGACGGUUGUCCCGGUUUAAGCGUGUAGGCUGGUUUUCCAGGCAAAUCCGGAAAAUCAAGGCUGAGGCGUGAUGACGAGGCACUACGGUGCUGAAGCAACAAAUGCCCUGCUUCCAGGAAAAGCCUCUAAGCAUCAGGUAACAUCAAAUCGUACCCCAAACCGACACAGGUGGUCAGGUAGAGAAUACCAAGGCGCUUGAGAGAACUCGGGUGAAGGAACUAGGCAAAAUGGUGCCGUAACUUCGGGAGAAGGCACGCUGAUAUGUAGGUGAAGUCCCUUGCGGAUGGAGCUGAAAUCAGUCGAAGAUACCAGCUGGCUGCAACUGUUUAUUAAAAACACAGCACUGUGCAAACACGAAAGUGGACGUAUACGGUGUGACGCCUGCCCGGUGCCGGAAGGUUAAUUGAUGGGGUCAGCGCAAGCGAAGCUCUUGAUCGAAGCCCCGGUAAACGGCGGCCGUAACUAUAACGGUCCUAAGGUAGCGAAAUUCCUUGUCGGGUAAGUUCCGACCUGCACGAAUGGCGUAAUGAUGGCCAGGCUGUCUCCACCCGAGACUCAGUGAAAUUGAACUCGCUGUGAAGAUGCAGUGUACCCGCGGCAAGACGGAAAGACCCCGUGAACCUUUACUAUAGCUUGACACUGAACAUUGAGCCUUGAUGUGUAGGAUAGGUGGGAGGCUUGGAAGUGUGGACGCCAGUCUGCAUGGAGCCGACCUUGAAAUACCACCCUUUAAUGUUUGAUGUUCUAACGUUGACCCGUGAUCCGGGUUGCGGACAGUGUCUGGUGGGUAGUUUGACUGGGGCGGUCUCCUCCUAAAGAGUAACGGAGGAGCACGAAGGUUGGCUAAUCCUGGUCGGACAUCAGGAGGUUAGUGCAAUGGCAUAAGC
This 1295-nucleotide ribosomal RNA is filed under the name Escherichia coli. RNAcentral describes it as "partial 23S ribosomal RNA". It matches the Rfam family "Bacterial large subunit ribosomal RNA", at positions 1085 to 2364 of the family's 2925-position model. Lineage: Bacteria; Pseudomonadati; Pseudomonadota; Gammaproteobacteria; Enterobacterales; Enterobacteriaceae. The record is from RNAcentral.